UUUGUCUCAUAGCAAUAAUUUGAAUUUUAUUUUUUAGUUAAAAAGCUAAAAUUUAUCUUAAAGACAAGAAGACCCUAUUAAGCUUUACAAUUUUAUACUAUUUUCAAACUAAUAAAAAAAUUGUUAUGCUGGGGCAGCAGAUAAAUAAAUAUUAUUUCCACAUUGUGAUUAAUAAAUCUAGAAAAAUCAAUAACUUUUUAAAUAAUAGCAAGUUACUAUAGGGAUAACAGCAUAAUUUUUUUAAAGAGUUCUCAUCAACAAAAAAGUUUGUGACCUCGAUGUUGGAUU
Molecule: ribosomal RNA, 288 nt
Filed under: Paruroctonus utahensis
Lineage: Eukaryota; Metazoa; Arthropoda; Arachnida; Scorpiones; Vaejovidae
Description: partial 16S ribosomal RNA
Source: RNAcentral